GAGUUUGAUUCUGGCUCAGGAUGAACGCUAGCGGCAGGCCUAACACAUGCAAGUCGAGGGGUAGGGUGCUUCGGCACUUGAGACCGGCGUACGGGUGCGUAACGCGUGUACAAUCUACCUUUUGCUAAGGGAUAGCCCGAAGAAAUUUGGAUUAAUACCUUAUAGUAUUAUUUGGUGGCAUCAUUAAAUAAUUAAAGCUACGGUGGCAAAAGAUGAGUACGCGUCCCAUUAGCUAGUUGGAGUGGUAACGGCACACCAAGGCUACGAUGGGUAGGGGUUCUGAGAGGGAUGUCCCCCACACUGGUACUGAGACACGGACCAGACUCCUACGGGAGGCAGCAGUGAGGAAUAUUGGACAAUGGUCGGAAGACUGAUCCAGCCAUGCCGCGUGCAGGAUGACGGCCUUAUGGGUUGUAAACUGCUUUUGUAUGGGAAGAAUAAGGUCUACGUGUAGAUUGAUGACG
RNAcentral lists this ribosomal RNA (464 nucleotides) under Capnocytophaga cynodegmi. RNAcentral's name for it is "bacterial SSU rRNA". It matches the Rfam family "Bacterial small subunit ribosomal RNA", at positions 9 to 474 of the family's 1533-position model. The record is from RNAcentral. Lineage: Bacteria; Pseudomonadati; Bacteroidota; Flavobacteriia; Flavobacteriales; Flavobacteriaceae.